UUUCUCUCAGGAUAGCUGGAGCUCGUAAAUGAGUUCUAUCGGGUAAAGCCAAUGAUUAGAGGCAUUGGGGGUGCAAUGCCCUCGACCUAUUUUCAAACUUUAAAUAGGUAGGAUGGAAUGACUGCUUAAUUGAGCUAUUCCAAGGAAUCUAGAGCUCCAAGUGGGUCAUUUUUGGUAAACAGAAUUGGCGAUGCGAGAUGAACCG
RNAcentral lists this non-coding RNA (205 nucleotides) under Zostera marina. RNAcentral's name for it is "Eukaryotic large subunit ribosomal RNA". It matches the Rfam family "Eukaryotic large subunit ribosomal RNA", at positions 967 to 1170 of the family's 3401-position model. The record is from Rfam by way of RNAcentral. Lineage: Eukaryota; Viridiplantae; Streptophyta; Magnoliopsida; Alismatales; Zosteraceae.